AAACCUUUAGAAAAUAUAUGCAUACUACUAAAAAUUUUACUGCAAUAUUGGAUCGAUCCUUAACCUUCUAAAAAGAGCUUCUCAUUCUGAAAAAUUUCGAGCUAUUUGGUACUCUUUGAUCUGAGUCUGGUUAUAUGAUGAUUUGAAGUCAAUUUUUGGUUCCUUUUACUUCAUUUCUUCGAGUUGAAAAUCAUCUUGUCUUCUAUCUCUAAUUACCUGGGGUCUGGGAUUAUUUGGAGUGGUUAACUUACUAUUAUUCUGCUUCCUAUUUGCUGAACCUUCAUCCUCA
This 289-nucleotide long non-coding RNA is filed under the name Nicotiana benthamiana. RNAcentral describes it as "long non-coding RNA (NBEN_LNC016424)". The record is from RNAcentral. Lineage: Eukaryota; Viridiplantae; Streptophyta; Magnoliopsida; Solanales; Solanaceae.